CCAGCCGGCCGGGCGGCCGCGCGGACGGGAGCCGAAAGGCUGUCCGCGAGGAAAGUCCGGGCUCCACGGAAAGACGGCGCCGGCUAACGGCCGGCGGGGGUGACCCCAGGGAAAGUGCCACAGAAAGGAAACCGCCCCGCCUGUAAAUCGGCUGACCGCAAGGCUCGCGCCUCGACAAUGAGCGCCUGCGCGGACAAGAGCCGAUUUAUCGGCGGGGCAAGGGUGAAAGGGUGGGGUAAGAGCCCACCGCGCGACCGGUAACGGGAGCGGCAUGGCAAACCCCGCCGGGAGCAAAACCGAAUAGGGAUGGCGCGAAGGGCAACCUUCAGGCAUUUUCCGGCCCAGCCAUCCGGGUAGGUUGCAAGAGGCGGAUGGCAACAUCCGCCCCAGAGGAAUGGCCGCCACGUUUCGAUUGCCGCAAGGCGUCGAGGCCAUACAGAACCCGGCUUACAGGCCGGCUGGCACA
Molecule: RNase P RNA, 466 nt
Filed under: Rhizobiaceae bacterium
Lineage: Bacteria; Pseudomonadati; Pseudomonadota; Alphaproteobacteria; Hyphomicrobiales; Rhizobiaceae
Description: RNase P RNA component class A
Rfam family: Bacterial RNase P class A
About the family: Ribonuclease P (RNase P) is a ubiquitous endoribonuclease, found in archaea, bacteria and eukarya as well as chloroplasts and mitochondria. Its best characterised activity is the generation of mature 5'-ends of tRNAs by cleaving the 5'-leader elements of precursor-tRNAs.
Source: RNAcentral